AGAGUUUGAUCCUGGCUCAGAAAGAACGCUGGCGGCGUGCCUAACACAUGCAAGUCGAACGGAAUUGGAGAGCUUGCUUUUCAAUUUAGUGGCGCACGGGUGAGUAACGCGUAGAUAAUCUGCCUGAUGAUCUGGGAUAACACUUCGAAAGAGGUGCUAAUACCGGAUAAGCCCACGGGAUCUUUGGAUUCUGCGGGAAAAGGGGGGGACCUUCGGGCCUUCUGUCAUCAGAUGAGUCUGCGUACCAUUAGCUAGUUGGUAGGGUAAUGGCCUACCAAGGCUACGAUGGUUAGCUGGUCUGAGAGGAUGAUCAGCCACACUGGAACUGAGACACGGUCCAGACUCCUACGGGAGGCAGCAGUGGGGAGUUUUGCGCAAUGGGCGAAAGCCUGACGCAGCAACGCCGCGUGAGUGAUGAAGGCUUUCGGGUCGUAAAGCUCUGUCGAGGGGAAAGAAAUGUAUUUGGGCUAAUACCCUUUAUACUUGACGGUACCCCUAAAGGAAGCACCGGCUAACUCCGUGCCAGCAGCCGCGGUAAUAC
RNAcentral lists this ribosomal RNA (541 nucleotides) under uncultured delta proteobacterium. RNAcentral's name for it is "bacterial SSU rRNA". It matches the Rfam family "Bacterial small subunit ribosomal RNA", at positions 8 to 526 of the family's 1533-position model. RNAcentral also lists the same sequence under 1 other name. Lineage: Bacteria; Deltaproteobacteria. The record is from RNAcentral.